This 66-nucleotide transfer RNA is filed under the name Ogmocotyle ailuri. RNAcentral describes it as "tRNA-Trp". The record is from RNAcentral. Lineage: Eukaryota; Metazoa; Platyhelminthes; Trematoda; Plagiorchiida; Notocotylidae.
AGUGACUUAAGUUAUGUUAUUGACUACUUGUUUUCAAAAUAAGAAGAAACUUUGUGUUAGUUACUG